This 450-nucleotide ribosomal RNA is filed under the name uncultured bacterium. RNAcentral describes it as "partial 16S ribosomal RNA". It matches the Rfam family "Bacterial small subunit ribosomal RNA", at positions 354 to 796 of the family's 1533-position model. The record is from RNAcentral.
GUGGGGAAUAUUCCGCAAUGGACGAAAGUCUGACGGAGCAACGCCGCGUGAGUGAUGAAGGUUUUCGGACUGUAAAGCUCUGUUGUUUAGGACGAAAGUGCCUGUUGCAAAUAGUUACAGGUAUUGACGGUACUGAACGAGGAAGCCACGGCUAACUACGUGCCAGCAGCCGCGGUAAUACGUAGGUGGCAAGCGUUGUCCGGAAUUAUUGGGCGUAAAGAGCAGGUAGGCGGGAAUCUAAGUCUGUUGUGAAAAUGCGGGGCUCAACCCCGUAUUGCGAUGGAAACUGGGUUUCUUGAGUGCAGGAGAGGAAAGGGGAAUUCCCAGUGUAGCGGUGAAAUGCGUAGAUAUUGGGAGGAACACCAGUGGCGAAGGCGCCUUUCUGGACUGUGUCUGACGCUGAGAUGCGAAAGCCAGGGUAGCGAACGGGAUUAGAUACCCUUGUAGUCC